GACCAAGGAGUCUAACCCGUACGCGAGUCGUAGGGUCUUGCGUAGGCCCCGUGGCGUAGCGAAAGCAAAGUCGAGACAUUGGAUAACUUUUUAACUAAAGUUGUACUUUAGCAUCGGCGGCCCGGCGGUGUAGUCGAAUGGCACGGCCCGUCGAAUCUUUCGGGGUUUGGCGGUUUAAAGUCGUGCUCGGCUCGUCGGAGUCUGAGCGUACGAGUUGGUACCCGAAAGAUGGUGAACUAUGCCCCGCCAGGGCGAAGUCGGAGGAAACUCCGGUGGAGGCCCGAAGCGGUUCUGACGUGCAAAUCGAUCGUCGGAGCGAGGUAUAGGGGCGAAAGACUAAUCGAACCAUCUAGUAGCUGGUUCCCUCCGAAGUUUCCCUCAGGAUAGCUGGCAUUCAUGAAAAACUCAGUCUCUUCUCGUAGAGAGAAUGAAUAGAGGCCCUGGGGCCCUAGACGACCUCAACCUAUUAUCAAACUGCUACGAGGUGCGUCGGCGAUGACUUGCAUGAUUUGAAGUCGUAAUAACGCUGUGGGAUGUACGAAUGCCGUGUGGGCC
Molecule: ribosomal RNA, 555 nt
Filed under: Afrarchaea cornutus
Lineage: Eukaryota; Metazoa; Arthropoda; Arachnida; Araneae; Archaeidae
Description: eukaryotic LSU rRNA
Rfam family: Eukaryotic large subunit ribosomal RNA
Source: RNAcentral